AUUGAACGCUGGCGGCAUGCCUUACACAUGCAAGUCGAACGGCAGCACGGGUGCUUGCACCUGGUGGCGAGUGGCGAACGGGUAAGUAAUACAUCGGAACGUACCUUAUCAUGGGGGAUAACGCAGCGAAAGCUGUGCUAAUACCGCAUACGCCCUGAGGGGGAAAGCGGGGGAUCGAAAGACCUCGCGCGAUUAGAGCGGCCGCUGCCUGAUUAGCUGGUUGGUGGGGUAAAAGCCCACCAAGGCGACGAUCAGGAGCUGGUCUGAGAGGACGAUCAGCCACACUGGGACUGAGACACGGCCCAGACUCCUACGGGAGGCAGCAGUGGGGAAUUGUGGACAAUGGGGGCAACCCUGAUCCAGCAAUGCCGCGUGAGUGAAGAAGGCCUUCGGGUUGUAAAGCUCUUUUGUCAGGGAAGAAACACCGGCUCUAACACAGUCCGGGAAUGACGGUACCUGAAGAAUAAGCACCGGCUAACUACGUGCCAGCCGCCGCCGUAA
Molecule: ribosomal RNA, 501 nt
Filed under: uncultured bacterium
Lineage: Bacteria
Description: partial 16S ribosomal RNA
Rfam family: Bacterial small subunit ribosomal RNA
Source: RNAcentral